This 496-nucleotide ribosomal RNA is filed under the name uncultured bacterium. Its description in RNAcentral is "bacterial SSU rRNA". It matches the Rfam family "Bacterial small subunit ribosomal RNA", at positions 28 to 523 of the family's 1533-position model. The record is from RNAcentral.
GACGAACGCUGGCGGCGUGCUUAACACAUGCAAGUCGAGCGGAAAGGCUCCUUCGGGGGUACUCGAGCGGCGAACGGGUGAGUAACACGUGAGUAAUCUGCCCUUCACUUCGGGAUAGCUUCGGGAAACCGAGAUUAAUACCGGAUAUGACCAGUGCCCGCAUGGGUUGUUGGUGGAAAGUUUUUUCGGUGGGGGAUGUGCUCGCGGCCUAUCAGCUUGUUGGUGGGGUAAUGGCCUACCAAGGCUUCGACGGGUAGCCGGCCUGAGAGGGUGACCGGUCACACUGGGACUGAGACACGGCCCAGACUCCUACGGGAGGCAGCAGUGGGGAAUAUUGGACAAUGGGCGGAAGCCUGAUCCAGCAACGCCGCGUGAGGGAUGACGGCCUUCGGGUUGUAAACCUCUUUCAGCUUCGACGAAGCCUUGCCUUUUGUGGGUGGGGUGACGGUAGGGGCAGAAGAAGGACCGGCCAACUACGUGCCAGCAGCCGCCGUAA